GAUGAACGCUAGCUACAGGCUUAACACAUGCAAGUCGAGGGGAAACGACAUCGAAAGCUUGCUUUUGAUGGGCGUCGACCGGCGCACGGGUGAGUAACGCGUAUCCAACCUGCCCAUCACUUGGGAAUAACCUUGCGAAAGUAAGACUAAUACCCAAUGAUAUCCCACGAAGGCAUCGGAAUGGGAUUAAAGAUUUAUCGGUGAUGGAUGGGGAUGCGUCUGAUUAGCUUGUUGGCGGGGUAACGGCCCACCAAGGCAACGAUCAGUAGGGGUUCUGAGAGGAAGGUCCCCCACAUUGGAACUGAGACACGGACCAAACUCCUACGGGAGGCAGCAGUGAGGAAUAUUGGUCAAUGGGCGAGAGCCUGAACCAGCCAAGUAGCGUGCAGGAAGACGGCCCUAUGGGUUGUAAACUGCUUUUAUAAGGGAAUAAAGUGGGUCACGUGUGACUUUUUGCAUGUACCUUAUGAAUAAGGACCGGCUAAUUCCGUG
RNAcentral lists this ribosomal RNA (492 nucleotides) under uncultured bacterium. RNAcentral describes it as "partial 16S ribosomal RNA". It matches the Rfam family "Bacterial small subunit ribosomal RNA", at positions 28 to 507 of the family's 1533-position model. The record is from RNAcentral.